GCACUGCUGAAGAGUCCAAAAAUAGGACGAAAGGGCCAUCUAGUGC
RNAcentral lists this non-coding RNA (46 nucleotides) under Schistosoma mattheei. The record is from RNAcentral. Lineage: Eukaryota; Metazoa; Platyhelminthes; Trematoda; Strigeidida; Schistosomatidae.